This 506-nucleotide ribosomal RNA is filed under the name uncultured bacterium. Its description in RNAcentral is "partial 16S ribosomal RNA". It matches the Rfam family "Bacterial small subunit ribosomal RNA", at positions 28 to 523 of the family's 1533-position model. The record is from RNAcentral.
GAUGAAUGCUAGCUACAGGCUUAACACAUGCAAGUCGAGGGGUAACGAGAGGAAAGCUUGCUUUCCUUGUCGACGACCGGCGCACGGGUGAGUAACGCGUAUCCAACCUGCCCCCAACUAGGGAAUAACCUUGCGAAAGUAAGACUAAUACCCUAUAAUUUCCUCAGAUGACAUCUGACGAGGAAUAAAGAUUUAUCGUUUGUGGAUGGGGAUGCGUCUGAUUAGCUUGUUGGCGGGGUAACGGCCCAACAAGGCAACGAUCAGUAGGGGUUCUGAGAGGAAGGUCCCCCACAUUGGAACUGAGACACGGUCCAAACUCCUACGGGAGGCAGCAGUGAGGAAUAUUGGUCAAUGGGCGGAAGCCUGAACCAGCCAAGUAGCGUGCAGGAUGACGGCCCUAUGGGUUGUAAACUGCUUUUAUACAGGAAUAAAGUUAGCCACGUGUGGUUAUUUGUAGGUACUGUAUGAAUAAGGACCGGCUAAUUCCGUGCCAGCCGCCGCGGUAA